CUGCUCACUUCAGCAACACCUAUCCUAAAAUUGGAACGACACAGAGAUUAGCAUGGCCUCUGCACGAGGAUGACACAAAAUUCAUAAAGUGUUCUGUAUUUUU
RNAcentral lists this small nuclear RNA (103 nucleotides) under Cercocebus atys (sooty mangabey). The record is from RNAcentral. Lineage: Eukaryota; Metazoa; Chordata; Mammalia; Primates; Cercopithecidae.